CAAAGGCAUGGUCCCGACCUUACUAUCAGCUCUAGCCCGACUUACACAUGCAAGUCUCCGAACCCCGUGAGUAAGCCCCUUAAUCCCCUGCCCGGGGACGAGGAGUAGGCAUCAGGCACAAAUCUUUAGCCCAAGACGCCAGGCCGAGCCACACCCCCAAGGGAAUUCAGCAGUGAUAAAUAUUAAGCCAUAAGUAAAAACUUGACUCAAUUAGCGCUAAGUAGGGCCGGUAAAACUCGUGCCAGCCACCGCGGUUAAACGAGAGGCCCAAGUUGAUAGUAUAACGGCGUAAAGGGUGGUUAAGGAUAAUAAAAUAAUAAAGUCGAACGGCCCUUUGGCUGUCAUACGCUUCUAGGAGUCCGAAGCCCAAUAUGCGAAAGUAGCUUUAGAAAAGCCCACCUGACCCCACGAAAGCUGAGAAACAAACUGGGAUUAGAUACCCCACUAUGCUCAGCCAUAAACCCAGAUAUCCUCCUACAAUUAGAUAUCCGCCCGGGUACUACGAGCAUUAGCUUGAAACCCAAAGGACCUGACGGUGUCUCAAACCCCCCUAGAGGAGCCUGUUCUAGAACCGAUAACCCCCGUUAAACCUCACCACUUCUAGCCAUCCCAGCCUAUAUACCGCCGUCGUCAGCUUACCCUGUGAAGCAAUAAAAGUAAGAAGANUGAAUAUAAUCCAGAACGUCAGGUCGAGGUGUAGCGUACGAAGCGGGAAGAAAUGGGCUACAUUUUCUAUUAUAGAACACUACGGACAUGCAACAUGAAAUAGUGCUUGAAGGAGGAUUUAGUAGUAAAAAGGAAGCAGCGUG
The sequence is a ribosomal RNA, 809 nucleotides long. It matches the Rfam family "Bacterial small subunit ribosomal RNA", at positions 9 to 1356 of the family's 1533-position model.